RNAcentral lists this ribosomal RNA (514 nucleotides) under uncultured bacterium. RNAcentral describes it as "bacterial SSU rRNA". It matches the Rfam family "Bacterial small subunit ribosomal RNA", at positions 992 to 1509 of the family's 1533-position model. The record is from RNAcentral.
AGAAUUUAGCAGAGAUGCUUUAGUGCCUUCGGGAACUCUGAGACAGGUGCUGCAUGGCUGUCGUCAGCUCGUGUUGUGAAAUGUUGGUAAGUCCCGCAAGAGCGCAACCCCUAUCCUUUGUUGCCAGCGAUUCGGUCGGGAACUCAAAGGAGACUGCCGGUGAUAAACCGGAGGAAGGUGGGGAUGACGUCAAGUCAUCAUGGCCCUUACGAGUAGGGCUACACACGUGCUACAAUGGCGCAUACAAAGAGAAGCGACCUCGCGAGAGCAAGCGGACCUCAUAAAGUGCGUCGUAGUCCGGAUUGGAGUCUGCAACUCGACUCCAUGAAGUCGGAAUCGCUAGUAAUCGUAGAUCAGAAUGCUACGGUGAAUACGUUCCCGGGCCUUGUACACACCGCCCGUCACACCAUGGGAGUGGGUUGCAAAAGAAGUAGAUAGCUUAACCUUCGGGAGGGCGUUUACCACUUUGUGAUUCAUGACUGGGGUGAAGUCGUAACAAGGUAAGCGUAGCGAG